Molecule: long non-coding RNA, 1408 nt
Organism: Acanthopagrus latus (yellowfin seabream)
Lineage: Eukaryota; Metazoa; Chordata; Actinopteri; Spariformes; Sparidae
Exons: 4
Source: RefSeq, a predicted model, not a curated record
GCUGCCAACUCACCACGACACAGGAUAUAAAACAUGACCCAGUCAGCCUAGUAAUCAAUGUCAAGUGGCUGCAUGUGUGUGUGUGCGUGUGCAUGUCAGAGCCACAGAAAAGGCGAGACAGACGAGUCUUGUUGAAAACUGAAAUGUGCGUGAAGUGAAAUGAAGCAGGAGUAAAGAAGGACAACGAGAAGGAAGAACACGAGAAAAAGCACUUUCCCCUGCGCGAGUGGAAGGAACAGCUUGCAGGAGGAAGCGCAGAGGAGCUGGUGUGGGUGUGAGGAGGAGACCAAAACAGUACCAGCCAUAACAGUUGUGUGUUUACCUUGUGGAAGCUCCUGAAGUACGCUGCCUUCUCGUCUGGGUACUUCUCUAACCGUCGGGGUCCUUUACUGGAGGCUUUCUUGAACACCAGCCAACACCUCCGGAAAAUCUGACAACAGAGAAGGAUGGCAGCCCCCCGUUACUAAAACACAACUGUCCCGGAGCAAGGAGAUACAUUAAGUUGCUUAGGAGAAUGCUGCAACACUAGAGAUCCAGAAAUGAGCAAAACUACAACUAACUUUGCAUCAGCAUGGGGUGGGACCCCUCUAUUUCCUGGUGGAGACAGCCGCUAUCACUCUGCCUGAUGUAUGAUUGCCCUGGGCCACAUGGUCGCGUUGGGGAACCGUGGAUGUACGAUUAAUUUGUUUACUCAGCUGGUGUACUUCAUAAAAGGCCCACUGAGUUGAACGUGAGUUGAACUCGGCACUUUGCAGUAAUUGACUAGAGUGGAUCCCUAGGUCCUUAUCGGUCUGCCUUGAUGGGCCUCCAUUCUAGUUAAGUGUUGCCCAGGCCCAUUAUAAACAGCAAACAACACAAAAUAGUGCACUAGACACUCGCUAAUGCACUGCGCAUCACUCUCCACACCCGCCAUAAAAAUGCUUUAAAGAACAAAAGUGCAAUAAAAUCUUACUCAAAAUUGAACAUACUGUAUUUAUUUCCAUAAUAAUGCCUGUUAAAAUAAAACAAAACUGCAGCUUUAACAGAAACACGAGCAUGAAUGUGAAUCCCUUUUGACAAUGGCCAUUAUCACAUUUGCGACUUUAAAACAGCAGAAUUAAAAGGGCCUCAAUUCCCCUUUGGGAGCUUGAAUCAAAGCAAUGCAGCCUGCUUGCCGCACACAAAGUAAUUCACCCUAGGAGUGCUCAGAUUAAGUAAUUAUACCAGCACAAAAGCAAGCUCAGUGAGAUAGCUUGUGCAUAAUAAGAACUAGGGGGUAUGAAUGGAGAGGGUUUAAUUUUGCCUGUUCCACAGUUGUCAAUGCUUUGUCAAGGCAGUCCUAUUCUUGAGCUGCUGGUGGUUCUUAUUCAGCGACACUCUUACACUGAUUGUAAUUAUACAGACAUGAAAGAGACUCUCAGCUGGUUUG